UAAGGAAUAUUGCUCAAUGGGAGAAAUCCUGAAGCAGCAACGCCGCGUGGAGGAUGAAGGGCUUUCAGCUUGUAAACUCCUGUAAAGAAGGAAAAAAUUCCCAUUAGAUGGGAAAUGAUGGUACUUCUAAAGUAAGCCCCGGCUAACUACGUGCCAGCAGCCGCGGUAACACGUAGGAGGCAAACGUUAUCCGGAUUUACUGGGUGUAAAGGGUGCUCAGGCGGAUUUGUAAGUCAGAGGUGAAAUCUCACAGCUUAACUGUGAAACUGCCUUUGAUACUGCAAGUCUAGAGUAUGGAAGAGAGUGAUGGAAUGUCUGGUGUAGCAGUGAAAUGCGUAGAUAUCAGAUAGAACACCAAUGGCGAAGGCAGUCACUUGGUCCAUUACUGACGCCAAAGCACGAAAGCGUGGGUAGCAAACA
Molecule: ribosomal RNA, 420 nt
Filed under: uncultured prokaryote
Description: bacterial SSU rRNA
Rfam family: Bacterial small subunit ribosomal RNA
Source: RNAcentral